Molecule: long non-coding RNA, 834 nt
Organism: Mesocricetus auratus (golden hamster)
Lineage: Eukaryota; Metazoa; Chordata; Mammalia; Rodentia; Cricetidae
Exons: 4
Source: RefSeq, a predicted model, not a curated record
CUGAGCCGUUGCCAUGUGGUUCCUGGGAAGAGGGGAUGCAAAUCUGUAUUCCUGAACUUCUGCUUCUGUCUGUGACAGAGAGGACAAGCAGAGCAAGGCGAGGUUGCCGAAGUCUGCUAUGGAUGGACUGGCAAACGCAGACCGAAUCGAGCUAUUCCAGAGAGUAUGUUGGGCACUGAUGACACUCCAUCUGGAGUUCAUUUCCUACUCAGCUACUGGCCUCUUGGGUAAAAAACUGCCCCCACCUUGACCGAUGACCUUGGACAUGCUGAACUAACUGAGCUUGCAGGAGAUAAACCUAAAGAAGACUGCUGAACCCUGCUAAGUCAUGGCAUUUGCAACAUUCCAGACCCUAAGGUCACUUCCAGGCCUGGGAUUGCAUAAAGUAGUAAUUAUUCUUGGAAGACAUUAAACAAGCUUGCUGAUGGACAAUGUAUCUCUACUGCUCCUCCUCGGAACACAUCCAUGUUCUAGGACUGGUUUGUAACUUCUGGACUCUGCUUCGUUCCCUUGAACAUCCAUACAAAGUUUUAUGGGAUGCUAUUGUGAAAUCUGUUUGAGUUACACACUAUUCCUGUCAUGGACAUGGCCCAGAAGUCCCAGAAUCUGCUGGGGAGAAGAGGAAAAAAAGAAAAGACUGCUGGUAAUAUGCCACCACUGCUUAUAUGUGUGUAUAUCAUUAGAGAUAGAGGAAUGUACCAAGGAUAUGUUUUAAUGAAAAAUCACUUUAAUCAAAACAAACAAUGCUCUAGGGGGAAAAUAUCCCACAGAGUAAAAUUAUUUUAGCCACAACACCAACAUGGAAAAUAUGCUAAUAAAAUAUCCCGGGACCUA